RNAcentral lists this ribosomal RNA (444 nucleotides) under Candida albicans. RNAcentral's name for it is "partial large subunit ribosomal RNA". It matches the Rfam family "Eukaryotic large subunit ribosomal RNA", at positions 136 to 556 of the family's 3401-position model. The record is from RNAcentral. Lineage: Eukaryota; Fungi; Ascomycota; Pichiomycetes; Serinales; Debaryomycetaceae.
GUCCGAGUUGUAAUUUGAAGAAGGUAUCUUUGGGCCCGGCUCUUGUCUAUGUUCCUUGGAACAGGACGUCACAGAGGGUGAGAAUCCCGUGCGAUGAGAUGACCCGGGUCUGUGUAAAGUUCCUUCGACGAGUCGAGUUGUUUGGGAAUGCAGCUUUAAGUGGGUGGUAAAUUCCAUCUAAAGCUAAAUAUUGGCGAGAAACCGAUAGCGAACAAGUACAGUGAUGGAAAGAUGAAAAGAACUUUGAAAAGAGAGUGAAAAAGUACGUGAAAUUGUUGAAAGGGAAGGGCUUGAGAUCAGACUUGGUAUUUUGCAUGCUGCUCUCUCGGGGGCGGCCGCUGCGGUUUACCGGGCCAGCAUCGGUUUGGAGCGGCAGGAUAAUGGCGGAGGAAUGUGGCACGGCUUCUGCUGUGUGUUAUAGCCUCUGACGAUGCUGCCAGCCUA